AAGCUGACUAAUAACUGUACCAAGAACUUUUAUCUUUACCAAUAAGGUAGCAGUGGCAGAACCUGGGUUGUUAUAAUCUCAUCUUUCUUAUUUACUCUGGACUCUAGGUGUUAAUGAGUCACCUGGGCUGUGAACCACUGGCUCUCAGGAAUCCACUUCUCCGGUGGUUUUCAACCUAGUUGUCCAUAGGAAUCACCUGGGGAGAUCUGAGAACUCUAGAUGCCCAGGCCGCAAGUGGAUUCAUUAUGUCAGAUUCUCUGGUGUUGGGGUCACAGCCCAACAGGCUUCCAGACCUUGUGACACAGUUGUGCUGUACAGUGUAGGUGGACCAUUACUCCUCUAGGUCCAGUUUUCAUCUCACCUCAAAGUUGGGAUACACUAAGCUUUGAUGCCUCUGCGAAUCUGAUCCCCAAAGGACUUUAUUAAUUGAAAUAUGGAAAAAGGUCAUCUGAUGGGCUAGUGCAGUUGGCUAGAACAUGGAGCUAAUAGAAAGUGGAAUCCUCAUAAUCUUCUUUCUUGUCUUAAUUUUUUUCAGUUCAUGAAAAAAAAAACAGUUUACCCCCUUCUCACUGUUAGCUAAGGAUUAAAAUUACUCUGCUUAAUUAUAAAUUGUGGGGCUCAUUCAAAUCAUUGACAUCCCACAAGGAAGUCUGAAUCCUUAUAAACCUUAAAAAUCUUCCACACAUAGGCUAUGGUACGAGGUAAACAGGAUUGUUAGAUUAAACUGGAACUGAGGUCCUCAGAUUCGCUCAUAGCAAGUAUACUAUCUCCAGUGUCUCUCUCUUCCCAAAACUCUCAUGUAAAGUUAGCCAUCUGCCUGGACAGAACAAGGGGGCACACUGCAUCUUUCCAGAAGGCCUAGCCACAAGCAUUCGCUCCUACGGUCUUCAGCCCUGUGGCUCCACAGAUGUUUUCCAGAUGUUCACAGUGCCCUAUGGCUGGAUGCUGGGUGUGCCCAGGCUGGAGAAUAAUAUGCUCUUGCCUUUACUAUCAAAAGGAACUUGGCUUAUUUUGCUCCUACUUUUCCUCCUUAGACCUCAGGAAAAAUACUCAAGAGGGAAAUGGUAUUAUUUCACUUUGAAGGCUGAUCAUGAUGAAAACUUGGAAAAGCAAACAAUUACGGCAGACACUCCUUGCUCACUCACAGUCCACUCUUGCCAGAGAAGCAGGGAAGGUGUCUCCUUUCCUUCUGUUCCUCAAGAUCCAACAGCUUUGAGCUGACCCACAGAACUGCUGCAGACCCUCUGGAGUGACCUCCCUUUGCUAUCUAAGGAGACUGUCGGGAGCCGCUCCCGCCAUUACAAGAUGGCGCCGGUUUCCUGCUUCCUGGUUCUUCUUGCCAAACGUUGUCUUGCGAUGUACGCAUGCGCCACUUUAUGCUAAUGUAGGUUUGGUUGUUCUCCCUAUUGGAGAACACAUGCUAAUUGGGUUUUGUGUAGAGCACCAAUCACAGACGAGCAAGUCACCCUGCUGGCUAUUUAAGCAGAGCACGCACAGGGUUUGGGGUCCUUCUCCAUCUACUUUCAAGAGCUUCGAAAUAAAACUGCUGCUGGACAAA
Long non-coding RNA from Meriones unguiculatus (Mongolian gerbil), 1558 nucleotides. RefSeq lists it as uncharacterized. NCBI's taxonomy places the organism in Eukaryota, Metazoa, Chordata, Mammalia, Rodentia, Muridae. The transcript has 2 exons. The record is from RefSeq and is a predicted model, not a curated record.